Molecule: ribosomal RNA, 329 nt
Filed under: uncultured Anaerolineaceae bacterium
Lineage: Bacteria; Bacillati; Chloroflexota; Anaerolineae; Anaerolineales; Anaerolineaceae
Description: bacterial SSU rRNA
Rfam family: Bacterial small subunit ribosomal RNA
Source: RNAcentral
CUGCAUGGCUGUCGUCAGCUCGUGUCGUGAGAUGUUCGGUUAAGUCCGCUAACGAGCGCAACCCUCGCUGUGUGUUACAAGUGUCACACGGAACUGCCGGUCAUAAACCGGAGGAAGGUGGGGAUGACGUCAAGUCAGCAUGGCCUUUAUAUCCUGGGCUACACACACGCUACAAUGGGAAGGGACAAUAGGUUGCGAAGCCGCGAGGCGGAGCCAAUCCAGCAAAACUUCCCUCAGUUCAGAUUGCAGGCUGCAACCCGCCUGCAUGAAGUUGGAGUUGCUAGUAAACGCAGGUCAGCCAUACUGCGUUGAAUACGUUCCCGGGGCUU